This 355-nucleotide RNase P RNA is filed under the name Candidatus Hennigella equi. RNAcentral describes it as "RNase P RNA component class B". It matches the Rfam family "Bacterial RNase P class B". Rfam says of the family: Ribonuclease P (RNase P) is a ubiquitous endoribonuclease, found in archaea, bacteria and eukarya as well as chloroplasts and mitochondria. Its best characterised activity is the generation of mature 5'-ends of tRNAs by cleaving the 5'-leader elements of precursor-tRNAs. The record is from RNAcentral. Lineage: Bacteria; Bacillati; Mycoplasmatota; Mycoplasmoidales; Mycoplasmoidaceae.
CCUAACAGUCAAUCGCUGUUGGCAACAAUAGAGGAAACUCCAUGCUUGCACAAGGUGUUAACCUUGUAGUGAUUGUGUGUGAUUAAUAAAUAAGUCACAGCAUCCCUCAUGACGGAUGGCUCUAUCUAAGGUCGCAAGACUAUGAGAAGGCUUUAAUAGUACCACAGAGACGAGCUAGGUGGAAACACUUAGAUGAAACGCGGUAAACCCCACAAGCAAGAAACCUAAAUUUUGGUAAGGGAAUCUUUAGAUUAGAAUUGAAUAAUCUAGAGGAUAAAGCAUCAAGACUAUGCCAAUAAGGCACCAAAUUGCUUUAUAGAUAAAUGAUUGACCAAGACAGAACAUGGGUUAUGUU